UUUCUCUUCAGAUCGUAUAAAUCUUUCGCCUUUUACUAAAGAUUUCCGUGGAGAGGNUUUACCCAAUUUUUUGAUGCCCUGCGCAAGUGGGGCU
RNAcentral lists this small nuclear RNA (94 nucleotides) under Acanthochromis polyacanthus (spiny chromis). Its description in RNAcentral is "U5 spliceosomal RNA (ENSAPOG00000024438.1)". It matches the Rfam family "U5 spliceosomal RNA". From Rfam's summary of the family: U5 RNA is a component of both types of known spliceosome. The precise function of this molecule is unknown, though it is known that the 5' loop is required for splice site selection and p220 binding, and that both the 3' stem-loop and the Sm site are important for Sm protein binding and cap methylation. The record is from Rfam by way of RNAcentral. Lineage: Eukaryota; Metazoa; Chordata; Actinopteri; Pomacentridae.